AUGGGCUACAGCGUGCCCUUGGAAAAGUACCUGGUAGGAUUCCUUCUGGUAGUCCUGUUCCAAGAAGGAGCGGGAGACAACAUCGCCAGGAUGGACCGGGUCUACCAGGCAGAAAAGUACAUGUGCGUAAGUACCAGACGAGACGGUAGCUACAUAAGAGGUUAUUCCUGCGAGGAGUGGUCUCAGGCAUCGUGGCUUACCCACCCUGGGUACAAAGAGGGCUAUUAUCCCCUGUGGUCCAGCUACAAGGAAAUCCAAAAGGGAAUCUCCCUUACCAGAAGAUUAUAUGGCUAUAAGGAAGUCUGGAGCAAUAAUGGUCUAGCAGUCAAGGGAGAGUCAAUAUUCAUAAAGUUAAGGGCAGAUUUACUCAUUCCCGAAAACAGAUCUCAUAAGACAGACAAAGGCCUGGUUUUUCUAAUUUUAAGGGCGGAUACUUAUGGGGAGGACCUAAAAGUAGUUAUCCAUCUAUCAGGAGUUGCAUGCGGGCCCAAUAAAUUUCCAUCUAGAGGGACGUAUGAUUCCUUGGGAGCGCCACAUCUCUCACCACCCCCGGUAGUGCACCCAAAUGGAGGGACGCACGAAGAAUAUUGGGAGGUAAAGACGGGUGAGCUUGAUCAGAAUAUGUGGUUAAAAUGGAUGAACUACACGGCCCGGGCCCAGGGCAAGACCAACUGCAUUAUCUGUGCCGCCGGCCGCCCCUCCUUGACCACAGCCCCCGCUAGAAUCACCCCGCAUAAUUCACCUCAAGGUUUUGUUUGUCUAUUAGAAUUGUUCUCGGACGGCCACAUCCCAGGAUGCUCAAUUGCAAUAAAAUCCAAACUAAAUAACAUGUAUCCUCAGACCCCGAUUAGAUCUAUACCCCCAAGAUUUGAAGUUAAUUUAACUCCGGACUAUCAUUGUAUCACAGGAAGGGGAACAGGGAGAAAGGUGGGAUCAUUUCCUCUUGACUCUUGUAACACUACUAGAGAGAUAAAAUUGUUGUCCAAUAUGACCCGUGCCCGUAGUGAUAUAUGGUGGUUCUGUGGAGGUCAGAUCCUCAGGGGAAUUCUCCCCUUUAAUUUCUCAGGAACAUGCGCAAUCAUACAGUUAAUAAUGCCCAUCUACAUUUUACCCGAUAGCAAGACCCGAUGUGAUGGAUCUCACAUUAUCCAGCAGCGGUGGUCUACCCUAACCCUAACCCUAACCCGGAUUUGA
This 1194-nucleotide long non-coding RNA is filed under the name Gadus morhua (Atlantic cod). RNAcentral's name for it is "lncRNA (ENSGMOG00000032417.1)". The record is from RNAcentral. Lineage: Eukaryota; Metazoa; Chordata; Actinopteri; Gadiformes; Gadidae.